GAAUUUGUUUAGCCUCGGCCCGCUCUCAAGCGCAAGGGCCCUUCGGCUUCGUUUUACCAUAAUAUCCCAGUCAUGCGGAUGGCCCCGCCCCUUUCCACCGCCCGCCUUCUUGUCCAUAAUUCGAUUUAUGUAAAACUCUUGUAGUCCUGCAGUCCUGCGACUGCUGCAAUUUGCUGCCAGUGCUCAAGAGCUGCUUGUGUCCGAAUGCAAUUGCCAAAAGGUGUGAGGUCCAGGCUGUCAGGCGUAAGGCGUCUCUCCCUGCUGACUCCAUAAAGAAUGCAGUAUCAGGGGAAUUGAACGGAGCUGAACUUCGGUCGAACACCUCGUGGAUGGCUGUGCUCCACAUCUGCACAUCCAUUGCCGAAAUCUCUUGCUGGCAGCCGUAAAGCUUGUACUCAAAUUUGUUAUGCCACAUCUGACCGGCUUACAGGACCCACAGGACCCGAAGGACACGCAAUAACAUCGGAGCCCCAAAGCCAGAGUCAGAGUCGUUUGCAUUGAUACGAUCAUAAGCAUAAAGCGGGCACACACAUAUAUCGAUAUCAAUAAAAAGGAAACGCUGGGGGAAAUCACAGAAAUUCUGCUACGGCAUACAUACAUAACCCUUAGCCCCGCCGACCCUCGCAGAUGGCAUGACAUUUAUUUGCUUUAUUUCGAUGAUUUUACAUGACGCAAAUUUAUGCACAAAUGCAGAUAGAACCAGGAGCGGAACCAAACCAGCAGAGGCAAAAAAAAAAAACAUAAACGGGAAAAAAGGAUAUGGAAAGGGGAUGAUUCCAGCUGCUGCACUCGCAGGGUGACAGAAAACAUGUGCACUCG
Drosophila melanogaster (fruit fly) is the source of this 819-nucleotide non-coding RNA. NCBI's taxonomy places the organism in Eukaryota, Metazoa, Arthropoda, Insecta, Diptera, Drosophilidae. The record is from Ensembl.